This 254-nucleotide ribosomal RNA is filed under the name uncultured Acidimicrobiaceae bacterium. RNAcentral describes it as "partial 16S ribosomal RNA". It matches the Rfam family "Bacterial small subunit ribosomal RNA", at positions 524 to 776 of the family's 1533-position model. Lineage: Bacteria; Bacillati; Actinomycetota; Acidimicrobiia; Acidimicrobiales; Acidimicrobiaceae. The record is from RNAcentral.
CACGUAGGCACCAAGCGUUGUCCGGAUUUAUUGGGCGUAAAGAGCUUGUAGGCGGUUCGGCAAGUCGGGUGUGAAAACUCUGGGCUCAACUCAGAGAUGCCACCCGAUACUGCUGUGACUAGAGUGCAGUAGGGGAGCGGGGAAUUCCUGGUGUAGCGGUGAAAUGCGCAGAUAUCAGGAGGAACACCAGUGGCGAAGGCGCCGCUCUGGGCUGUAACUGACGCUGAGAAGCGAAAGCGUGGGUAGCAAACAGG